CUCACCACCCUCUCCUGCCAUUCCCCUUGCUGCAAUGCCACAUCUCUUUCCUCCCUCCACCCACUGGGAUCACCAGCCCUGCACUGCUGAGUCUCCACCCUUUAUCUGCAAUGUCACUACACACCUCGCUGGAGGACUUACUAAUGCGGCUGAAACUUCAGAUUUUGGAGAACAGAAGAUGGUUUGGAGCAGAGGACCACUGUGGAUAUCCAAGUCUGGGCUGGUUUAGCUCUGCAUCUGUCUCUGCUGCACUGUCUGCAGGCACAGGAGUGCAGACUGUUUAAUUUGCACUGGGGACUCCCUUUGACUCCAUGAAUAAGAAAGCACCUUUAAACACUCCCCACCUCUACUGAGCUGCAUGUUCCUGGUUUCCAGCUCCUGUGUGCACUUGGCCAGCAGGAUCAGAGCUGGGCCU
Molecule: long non-coding RNA, 415 nt
Organism: Neopelma chrysocephalum (saffron-crested tyrant-manakin)
Lineage: Eukaryota; Metazoa; Chordata; Aves; Passeriformes; Pipridae
Exons: 3
Source: RefSeq, a predicted model, not a curated record